Molecule: long non-coding RNA, 2599 nt
Organism: Pseudopipra pipra
Lineage: Eukaryota; Metazoa; Chordata; Aves; Passeriformes; Pipridae
Exons: 3
Source: RefSeq, a predicted model, not a curated record
CCCACCUUGGCACUGCGUGUCCAUCUCCCGCAGCAGCGAGGCGUUGCGCUGGAUGUCCAGCGGCAGCGACUCCACGCACUCCAGAAAUGCUUCUCUGUCUUCCAUGAGAUGAAGAGGAUGAAGAAUUAUACAAUAUAUCAAGAAAAUAAACCCAAAGAAAUGAAAGAAUGAGUACAAGCUAGAUGGGCUCUUUACAGAGUUGGCUGAAGGAAGCUAUAGGCCAUAGCUGACCUUUGUAUAGAUGAUAUUCCAGGAAGAAGCUAUCCUUGCAAGAGCUACAGAGGUACUAGUGCGUUUGUCCAGAAAACUGCUUUCAGACGGUGACUCUUUUUCCUCACCUCAUGUUUUAAAGCAUGAAUGAUCAGUGGAUUUGCUUUCCAGCUCCAGAGCCAAUCACCAUGACAAAAAACUCAGGAAGUGAGCAGAUGACGUUUAGGGAAGACAAAAGAGGAAUGGUAACAAGGUAAUCUUAUGCAAAUAUGUAGUAACCGUCUUUCUUGUCUUAGCUCAGCCCUGAAGCUUGAUCCUCUUCCAUUCAAGUAAACGGAAGAAUCCAUAUGACUUUAAUGGAAAAGAAUUGAGCCUUUUUUGCCCAAAGUAAACAAAGGAUUUUUUGUGUGCUCUUACCUGAGCUACACAAUAACAUGCACGCUGCGUUUCCAUGGUUCUGCUGCUCAGCACAGGUCAUGUGAAAAACACAUUCUUAUUUCUUCCUCUUGUGAGGAACAAACAUACGUAAUCGCACCUUUGUAACCAAGAUUAUGAAAUGAGGGCUGGCAGUGCACCUGCAGGAAGUUUCAGUAGUUGACAGUUUAAGACAUUCAUAAUACUCUCCCAUAUGUGGAUGUUAAUUUUUCUUUCUAGUUCAGAAAAUAAAGGUGGGAGUCACCCAGCUAAAUAUGUUGAAUAUGAGAGAAUCUUAGCAUAAAUAGGCCUUGCUCUACAAAUGUCUCCAUUGACUGUAAGGGGAGCCCAGGUCUGCUGUCACAGAUGUCAGUGAAAUGAAUUCCACUUCAUAUGCGAAAAUGGGGUAAUUACAUGCCUAUAGGUACCAUUUAUGAAUUUCAGAGUUCCCCUGAAAACUUGAAGAGAGUUUUGCAUGCAUCAUUAAAACUGCGCAACAAACAGGGGGAAGCCUCAUCUCAUUUCCCUCAUAAUGUGGAUUUUUUUUCCUUUUGGCAUCUGCUUAUCCAAACCUCGUACAAAUAAUUAAUCUCUAAUGCAACUGAAAAGUCACCACAAAUAGCACCAGCGAGUAUUUCAUGUCUUCAAAAUAACUCUGUAGCACCUAAGUCACCCACAUUAUGUGUUUCCUAGGAGUGCUGCUGCUAUGCAAACUUUUCAGUGCCACCAUUUACUCCAAGCUACCAGAAAGCAUUACUAGUAGGAUAUGACCAAUGCAGACUUUUUUCCCCCCAGGAACUGACAGAUUUUACAUUUGCUUUAUUAUUCAGUUGUAAUUGUGAGAAAAAUUAAUGGUUAAACAAGAUUAAUACAGAUCCUUAGCCUCUCAAACAUCCUCUUCCUCAAAAUAAUAAAGAGAAAUGUGGCAUUUAUUCCAAACUAAAGAAGAAUUUGGGGUGGAAGGCUGUUGUCAAAAUAUAGGCAGCAUCUGAUUGAAUAUAGUUUGUUUCUUAAACUGCAGCUAAAAUCACAGAAUGGGUGAGGUUGGAAGGGACCACAGCAGGUCAUCUGGGUCCAACCUCCCUGCUCAGGCAGGGUCCCCUAGAGCACAUUAUUUAAGAUUGUGUUUAGACAGCUUUUGAAAAUCCCCAGAGACUGAAACUUCACAACCUCUCUGGACAAUCUGUUCCAGUGCACAGUCACCCACACAGUGAUGAAGUUCUUCCUUAUAUUCAGGUGGAACAUCCUGUGCAUCAGUUUCUGCCCACUGCCUCUCAUCCGAUUGCUUGGCACCACCAAGAAGAACUUGGCUCCAUCCUCUUGACACCCUCCCUUUGGAUACUUGUAGACAUGGAUAAGAUCCCCUCUCGGUUGUCUCUUCUCCAAGCUAAACACCACAGGAUUUGAAAUGUAAAACAUAAAACAUCAGAGGAUUUAGAAAAUCAGGCAAACAUUGGUUAGAUAAGCUUUCUUACUAGCAACAAAGUAUCUUUUGCCCAAUGUGAUUAAUCUCUGAUGCUCAUAUUUAAAAGAAGUCCUUUUGCAGCCCACUUGGGCCUAACAAUUAAUGUUACUUGACUAGCAAUGACAGUUCAAACUUUAAAGGGCCGUAGGCUCAGAUGUCAGAGCCGAAUGAUGCUUUUUUUAGUUGCAGAAACGUUACUAGAGGAGGAAAAUACCUAGCUGGUAGCCACUGGAACUCAAUCUUCCAUUGCCUUAGGAGCAGGCAGUUGUGCUCAGAAAUUAUCAUGCACCAUUUUCAAAAUUAGCCUGCAACAUAUUUGAAACUGUUACGAGGUAUCAACAUAAAACCUGUUUUCCUAAAUGCCCAUCUGUGAAUGUGUGUUAAUUAAUCACAGACUAAAAACUGAUACUUCCUAAAAGCAAGAUUUAAUGACAGCAUUUUCUUAAAGACACUUAAACUAGCUAAUGGCAAUACCUUUGCUGUGGCAGUAUCAACUAACAGAACCAUCUA